RNAcentral lists this non-coding RNA (148 nucleotides) under Pan troglodytes (chimpanzee). The record is from Rfam by way of RNAcentral. Lineage: Eukaryota; Metazoa; Chordata; Mammalia; Primates; Hominidae.
GCUGGGCGUGGUGGUGCACGCCUGUAAUCCUAGCUACUCAGGAGGCUGAGACAGGAGAAUUGCUUGAAUCCGGGAGGCAGAGGUUGUAGUGAGCCAAGAUCGUGCCACUGCACUCCAGCCUGGGUGACAGAGCAAGACUCCGUCUCAA